RNAcentral lists this ribosomal RNA (404 nucleotides) under Actinomycetes bacterium. RNAcentral describes it as "Actinobacteria bacterium partial 16S ribosomal RNA". It matches the Rfam family "Bacterial small subunit ribosomal RNA", at positions 355 to 776 of the family's 1533-position model. Lineage: Bacteria; Bacillati; Actinomycetota; Actinomycetes. The record is from RNAcentral.
UGGGGAAUAUUGGACAAUGGGCGCAAGCCUGAUCCAGCCAUGCCGCGUGAGUGAUGAAGGCCCUAGGGUUGUAAAGCUCUUUCACCGGUGAAGAUAAUGACGGUAACCGGAGAAGAAGCCCCGGCUAACUUCGUGCCAGCAGCCGCGGUAAUACGAAGGGGGCUAGCGUUGUUCGGAUUUACUGGGCGUAAAGCGCACGUAGGCGGACUAUUAAGUCAGGGGUGAAAUCCCGGGGCUCAACCCCGGAACUGCCUUUGAUACUGGUAGUCUUGAGUUCGAGAGAGGUGAGUGGAAUUCCGAGUGUAGAGGUGAAAUUCGUAGAUAUUCGGAGGAACACCAGUGGCGAAGGUGGCUCACUGGCUCGAUACUGACGCUGAGGUGCGAAAGCGUGGGGAGCAAACAGG